RNA transcript from Chionomys nivalis (European snow vole), 6428 nucleotides. It is a transcript of the gene named pseudouridine synthase 10, with no coding region annotated. The record is from RefSeq and is a predicted model, not a curated record. NCBI's taxonomy places the organism in Eukaryota, Metazoa, Chordata, Mammalia, Rodentia, Cricetidae. The transcript is spliced from 17 exons.
UUUGAGUAGGGGCUCAUCGACAUUUCUGGCAGCAGCUAAUAUGCCCUAGAUGCCGAGUCCCACGGAGGUUUCUUUGCCGGUCGACCCCCUAGGGCUAGCAGGGAAGCCCUUUGCGGGCUUGCGUUCGCGGGGCUACCCAGAGUCCACGAUUGCGAGCCCCGCAGCCUUACAGAUCGCCCUGUAAGCAAGAGGGGGCCUUCACGUCCUCCUUUCGUGAAAGGCCUGGUACUUUUCUUCUAAAGCUCUCGUUUCCUUGGGGAACAGAACUGAUAGGCGCCGCAGGUGCGCUGUCUUUAGUCUUCCCCAUCCCACCUCCGACCAAAGGGUCUUGGCUCCAGCAGCUUGGGAGAAGUUAUAAUUAUUCAGCAUGUUUCCACUGACUGAGAAAAACAAGCAUGUGGCCCAGAUGUUGCUCAGUUCUGGGACCUGUCCCAGAUGUGUCUUCAGAUUCUGUGGUGUGGAUCUUCAUGCACCUUACAAACGCCCAUCCAAGGAGUUGUUAAAUGAUCUACAGAAAUUUCUUGAAACUGAAAAAGAUGAAUUAAUUUUGGAAGUUCCAAACCCACCAUUGAAGAAAAUUCGUCUUCAAGAAGAUAGGACAGAUAAUUGGAGUAGAAACGGACAAGAGGGGAUCUCUGCCACGGAAGACGAAAGCAGUGCUUCUGAGCCUUCAAACUCGAGUGUGUGCAAUGUUUGCUUAGGAAUUCUUCAAGAAUUCUGUGAGAAAGAGUUUAUUGCGAAGGUGUGCCAAAAGGUUGAAGCCUCUGGGUUUGAAUUCACCAGUGUGGUUCUAUCAGUUUCCUUCCCGCCACAGCUGUCAGUGAGAGAGCAUGCUGCAUGGUUGCUGGUCAAACAGGAAAUGGGAAAGCGGAAUCUGUCUCUGGGAAGAAACGAUGCAGUUCAGCUGAAAGAAGCCUACAAAUGGAUCACUCACCCCCUGUUCUCAGAGGGACUGGGCGUUCCCGUCGAUGGAAAGAGCUUGUUUGAAGUGAGUGUGGUCUUUGCUCAUCCAGAAACAGAUGAAGAUUGUCACUUCCUAGGUGAAGUUUGCCCAGAUUGUUUCAAGCCAGCCAAAAACAAACAGUCAGUGUUCACCAGAAUGGCAGUUUUGAAAGCUUUGAAUAAGAUAAAGGAAGAGGAUUUCCUCACGCAGUUUCCUUGUCCUCCAGACUCACCGAAGACUGUGUGCACUGUCCUGGAAAUGGAAUGCACUCACGGCGCUGUUUUUGUUGCUGCUGACGUUUCUUUGGCAGGCAGAUACAAUAAAUACUCCAGGAAUCUACCACAAACUCCUUGGAUAAUUGAUGGAGAAAGGAAAAUGGAAUCUUCGGUGGAAGAAUUAAUUUCAGAUCAUCUCUUGGCUGUAUUCAAAGCAGAGAGUUUUAAUUUCUCAUCCUCUGGAAGAGAAGACGUAGAUGUGAGAACGUUAGGGAAGGGAAGGCCGUUUGCCGUGGAACUGCUGAAUCCUCACAGAGUCCGUUUCACUUCUCAAGAAGUUAAGGAGCUCCAGCAGAAGAUUAAUAAGGCAUCUGACAAAAUCCAAGUACGUGAUUUGCAGCUCGUCACCAGAGAGGCCAUAGGGUAUAUGAAGGAAGGUGAAGAAGGGAAGACCAAGACCUACAGUGCCUUGAUCUGGACGAAUAAAGCCAUACAGAAGAACGACAUUGGAUUCCUAAAUGACCUCAAGGACUUAAAGAUUGACCAGAAAACUCCUCUCCGGGUCCUCCACCGAAGGCCUUUGGCUGUGAGAACUCGGGCCAUUCACUCCAUGGAGACACAGUACCUGGACGAACAUCAUUUUCGUCUGUAUUUGAAGACCCAAGCUGGAACGUAUCCUUCUGCCUCUGCAUUGCAGAGCCCUAACCAGAAUGGGAUCAGGAUAGUUAAUGCUGCCCUAGACAACAGGUUCAGUGAUCUAGGAGACACUUAUUUGCUAGACAUGUGUUCCCGUGUACCCCAGGUCUCGUGCACUCCAGGCUGACCUUGAACUCCUUACCCUCCUGUCUCCACCUCCCAAGUGCUGGGAUUACAGGCCUGUGCCACCUCAGGUGGUCUUGGAUAUUUUGGAAAGGAUUUGAGUGUAUUCAUUCAGUAUUUUUGGAGUAGAAUCAAUACUUUUUUUCUUUUUUAGUUAAUUUUUUUGUUUUUAUUGAAUUAUACAUUUUUCUCUGCUCUCCUUUCUUCCUCUCCCUCCCCUUCUACCCUAUCCUGUAAUCCCCAUGCUCUCAAUUUACUCAUGAGAUCUUGUCUUUCUCUCCUUUCUAUAUAGACCCAUGUAUGUCUCUCUUAAGGUCCUCUUUGUUGUCUAGGUUGUCUGGGAUUGUAGACUGUACGUUGGUUUUUUUUUUUCUUUGCUUUAUGCCUAGAAGCCACAUAUGAGUGAGUACAUAUUUGUCUUUCUGGGUUAUCUCAGUCAAGAUGUUUUUUUUCCUAGAUCUAUCCAUUUACAUGCAAAUUUCAAGAUGGCAUUAUUUUUUGUUUUACUGUUGUGUAGCACUCCAUUGUGUAAAGAUACCAUAUUUUCCUUAUCCAUUCUUUGGUUGAGGGGCACGUAGGUUGUUUCCAGGUUCUGGCUAUGACAAACAAUACGCUAUGAAUAUAGUUGAGCACAUGUCCUUGUGGUAUGAUUGAGCAUCCUUUGGGUAUAUACCCAACAGCCGUAUUGCUAGGUCUUAAGGAAGGUUGUUUCCUAAUUUUCUGAGAAAUUGUCAUUACUAAUAUCCAAAGUGGCUGUACAAGUUUGCACUCCCACCAGCAAUGCAGGAGUGUUCCCUUUACCCCACAACCUCUCCAGCAUAAGUUGUCGUCAGUGUUUUUGAUCUUGGCCAUUCUUACAGGUGUAAGAUGGAAUCUCAGAGUUGUUUUGAUUUGCAUUUCUCUGAUGACUGAGAAGGUUGAACAUUUCCUUAAGGGUCUUUCAGCCAUUUUAGGGAAUCAGUACUUUUUGUUUGAAGUCUGUUUUCCCAUUUGUAUUUCAGAGUAGUGUUUUAAACCAUGAAGUAUCCAUCAGUUAGUUCAAUGCCAACUUUAAAGUUUACAGUUCUGUGGCAGUGUCUUGCUCAUUGUUUAGCAUAUGGUAGACUCGGGAAGUGCUUUUCAUUGAUUCAUUUGCCGUCUCUAUACAUUUUACAAGUCACAUGUUCAUAACCCUAUUUGGUCAUUUAACUGUUUCAAGUGUUUGCCCAACUGAGUAAACACAGGAGAGAGAGGGGAGCAGGUAUUUUACCCUCUUUAGAAUUUGAGACAAGCGCUCACCGUGUUGCCCAGGCAGGCUCAUCACGAACACUUAAGCAGUUCCCUGUCUCUGCCUCCAGGAUGAUAGGAUGAUAGGAUGUCGUGUCUGGUGCUUCUUGACAUAGUGAUUGUAACUUAUGUGCAGGGCUGUGUGAAAACCAAAAGCCAAACUAUGUAUCACCUACUUAAGCAAUAUGUCAGUGUUAGGACAGAGUUUCAAAACAUCAAAAUUUUGACCGUGUUUUAAAUAGACAAAUAUAAUACAUAUUCACUCAUUUAGACAUAAAGCAAAGAAAAAGUGGCCUAUCGGUCACAAUCCCAGAGAAACUAGACAACAAAGAGGAUCCUAAGAGGGACAUACAUGGAUCUAAAUAGGAAGAUGAAAAAAGACAAGAUCUUCUGAGUGAAUUGAGAGCGUGUUGGUCAUGGAAGAAGGGUAGAAGGAGGGGGGGAGGAAGAGUGGAGAGAAAUAUAUAACUCAAUAAAAACAAUAAAAUAGAAGAUUGGAACUUGGAGUUUUAAAUAGCUCCCUGCGAAAGCUGAUACUUUGUUUCUGAUCAGGUCCAACUUGCGGCUUCAGGGUCAGAACUGAGUCUCUAACAGUGUAUCAGAGAGCUCCGGCAGUCGUAGGCCUACUUUAGUAUUUGCUUUCUUUUAAGACUGCUUCUUACUGUGGAUCCUAGGCUGUCCCUGAUCUCAAGAUUCUGCCUCUGCCUUCCAAGUGCUGGGAUUACAGCAUGUCUCACCAUGCCUGGUUUUCCUGUUGCCCCCAGAUUAUAAGAAUGAAAUAAAACUAAUUCUGUCUUUAAUUUUACAUACCAAGAAGGAAUGCUUUGUCUUUGGAAGAACUAGCAUGAUUUCAAUCCUGUUAAGACAUUUUUGGAAACAGCCACAUGUGUGUACUUAAUACGCUAGCCAAGAAGAGCUGGCUACAUGUGGUUCUCGUAGUGCGUGGCCUUAUGUGCGCGUUUCAUGCUGUGCUGUCCCAGUCUCACGUGGCUCAGCACCGCGGCCUUCCGUCUGGUCCCUCCAGCACGAACACAGGCCAGACCUUUCCAUUGCUUCCUCCUUUAUUACUGGCAUUCUCUGAAGAAAGUGAGGGAAAAGAGCGACAAUUGAAGAGAAACUAUGAAUUCAUGGAAAAAAAAGAGCCACUGGAUCAUUGUACGCCUUCUGUUUGAGUCAAAACAUGUUAUGGGGGAGGAGGUGAAAAAGCGCGUACAGUUGCCUCCCAGCUAGUGCUGGGGAAGUCGUUUGUUUUCCUGUACAAACACCAUUAACCGCUUACACUGACUUCUGCUUUUACUAACGCAGUGUUUUUGUGUUAUUUUUCAGAUGACGUCAGGGCCGCAGUGUGUGCUGUGGAGGGCUAAUCUUAUUAAGGACAAAUGCCAGAUUUAACCCUUGCCUUCAAAGCGUAAAGACCUACAUAGAGAACACAGAGUUUGCUAAACCAGCCAGGUGUGCUCCACACUGGCCCUGUCAUUCAGGCUUGCUUCUGCUCAAGACAGCCUGGACUACACAGCGGCUCCAAGGCCACGUUGGGUCUGUAGAUGUUGACUGGCCACCUGCUCUGGAUGACUAGCUCCCACAUUUGGACACAGGGCUUUCCUGACGUGAUGCAGACAUACAGGCGGCGUAUCUUGGAAAAUGACUUACCCACCACCACAGUGUCUUCAAAACGGCUUGGAUUGUGUUCAUCUGUUUCUGAAGUUCACUGUAACAUCUCAGGAUCUAUAUGUACGCAUAUUUUGUGUUCUGAGGAUGUCUUACGUUUUCUCAUUCCGUCUCAUGACCACAGAACUAAAAUAGGAAUAAUCGAGCCCUUUUCCUUUUUAAUUCUGUCACUCAGAGAAGUGUGCAGUGGGAGACACUGUUAAGAGGAGCUGUGACUUCCUCAGUGAGAUUUCCUACGGGAACCCCUGCACCUUUAAAGGAAAGUGCUCCAGUUUUCAGAUCAUCUGAAUAAAUGCUGCAACUAGACUCAUGUGCUAGAGUGUCCUGUGGAUUUCUAAUAUCUCCAAUGCACAUUUGACAGGACUAUUUCUCCUGGUUACCCUCAAGUGUUAUCAAUGGAACUACUUUAAGGUGAGAUUUGUCAUAAGUCCUAAUGACCUCAAGUUACUAGUUUGACAAUCUAAAGUUGACAGUACUUGUCUCCUGUAGAACCUGUGACUGUGCUGGGGGUGAACCCGUAGAGCCAUGGUUCCCACCUGCGACCGUGCUGGAGGUGAACCCCUAGAGCCACAGUUCCCACCUGUGGCCAUGCUAGGGGUGAACCUGUAGAGCCAUGGUUCCCACCUGUGAGUUGUGACUCCCAUAGGGGUUGCAUAUCAGAUCUCCUGCAUAUCAGAUGUUUAUAAUAAAAUUCAUAACAGUAGCAGAUUACAGUACUUUUAUGGUUGAGGUCACCAUAAUAUAAGGCACUGCAUUAACGGGUCACAGUAUUAGGGAGGGUGAGAACCACUGGCCUUGACACUUUCCUGCAUCCUUUUUUUUUUUUUCUUUUUUUUCUUUUUUUUUUCUUUUCUUUUUUGUUUUUUUUUUUUUGUUUUUUUGUUUUCGAGACAGGGUUUCUCUGUGGUUUUGGAGCCUGUCCUGGAACUAGCUCUUGUAGACCAGGCUGGUCUCGAACUCACAAAGAUCCGCCUGCCUCUGCCUCCCGAGUGCUGGGAUUAAAGGCGUGCGCCACCACCGCCCGGCUCCUGCAUCCUUUAAGGAAAGUGAAACAAGUACCUUCAAUAACUUCUUUCCCGGGUUACAAAUUCAAAAAUCUGAGCUUGCUAAACAAAUACAAACACAUUUUACAGUGUUUCAACUAUUUUCUAACUUCAAACAUCUUAAUAAGGUAUAUCUAACUUUAUAUCUAAUUUCAUAAACAAGGAAACAGAGUUAAAGGACGCCUAAGAUACCAGUUACUCCUGUUGACCAGGACUGGAACUGGAGUUGUGCCUCCAGGGUCCUUUCUGUACACGCUUGUCAUGAGUACCUGUGGCUCCUCUGGCUGACCGUGCUCUCUAGGGGGCCAGUUUAGAUGCGCAAUGCCUUCUGGAAUUGGGUAGCAAGUUGCUCCCAGGAAAUGGCUAAUGCAUGUCUUAGAUGAUCUCGUAUAAUUAUUAUUUGUAAUGAAUGGCAUGAUGAAGAAGAGAAGCCUUAAACAUAUUGAACCAAAAGAAGCUGAAUUAAUCAUUAAA